RNAcentral lists this ribosomal RNA (446 nucleotides) under uncultured bacterium. RNAcentral describes it as "partial 16S ribosomal RNA". It matches the Rfam family "Bacterial small subunit ribosomal RNA", at positions 329 to 792 of the family's 1533-position model. The record is from RNAcentral.
UCUCAGACUCCUACGGGAGGCAGCAGUGGGGAAUAUUGCACAAUGGGGGAAACCCUGAUGCAGCGACGCCGCGUGAAGGAUGAAGUAUUUCGGUAUGUAAACUUCUAUCAGCAGGGAAGAAAAUGACGGUACCUGACUAAGAAGCCCCGGCUAACUACGUGCCAGCAGCCGCGGUAAUACGGGGGGUGCAAGCGUUGUCCGGAAUCAUUGGGCGUAAAGCGUUCGUAGGCGGUAUGUCAAGUCUGAUGUUAAAGCCCGGGGCUCAACUCCGGUUCGGCAUUGGAUACUGGCAAACUAGAAUGUGGUAGAGGUAAAGGGAAUUCCUGGUGUAGCGGUGAAAUGCGUAGAUAUCAGGAGGAACAUCGGUGGCGAAAGCGCUUUACUGGACCAUUAUUGACGCUGAGGAACGAAAGCCUGGGGAGCAAAUGGGAUUAGAUACCCCUGUA